AAGAAGUGGUGUAGCUAUUCUUGAGACCUAAGUUUUAUUCCCCUCUUUUGCAUAAUUUUUGUUUACUGUAUUUUUGCUCAAAACCCUAGUGUGUCACCCUUUUGCAUAGAAACCCUAGUAUAUAACAUAUUUUUUUGUUAUUUUUAGCCUUUUUUGAUCAUUUUUGCUCCCCUAUUGCCGCCGCUCUCAUUUUUCCUCUUUUCUUCUCCGUUUUCUCUCCUUUCUUCUUAUUUGUGUUAUCCAAUUGUUCAUAUUCUCCUCUUGUUUUUCUAUUUUUUGUUCAUUUCUUCUCCUAUCACUUUGGUCGAAUUUUUGCUGCUGAUUUUUCUUCUAUUGUCACACCCUUUUUGCCCACUUUUCUUUCAUUUUUGUUGUUGAAAUCAGCCUCCUAUCUUGGCCGACUGAAGUGUUUAUCCAUUUUCUAUUGAUUCGUUAUUCCAAGUCUAGAAACUUGGAAGUGUCUAGAUCUAAAUCUCUCAGAUCUCCAGUGAAGUUUGAGCCUAUUCAUAUUUUCGUCGGAUCAGUAGAAGUGUAAAUGAUCUCAGAUAUGAAGUUUGGGUUGUUUCUUCGAUUUAGUAGAACCCUAUAAGAUGGUUAAAGGCUAAAUUUUAAUGUUCGUUCUCUAUGCUAGGUACAUAUCUGGUAGGUGCCAAUUCAAAUCUGAAUCAUAGAAGUGUUCCAAACAAUUGUUAAUGCUUUUCAGACGUGCAUUGAGGCGUGUGUCCUAUUCAUAAGUGAAUCGUGUGAUUUGGUGAUAAUCGAAUGCAUGUGUAUAUAAAUCAUAUUGAACCGAAUUUUUGUGUGUGUACCCUUAAGCUUUGUCAAAUGUAUAGUGUCCUAUGAACUGGCCAAAUAUGAUGUGUGUUAAUUUGGUGUGCUUGUCGAAUGUGUUUAGGUUUAUUUUGUAGUUGGUUGAAUGUGCCUAAUGGUUUGUCUGCUAUAACUGAGUAUGUAUAGACUACUAAUGUAUGAUAUGGAAUUGUUAUCACAUGUUUACUGAAUUCAUGAAGACAUAUUGUUGCUUCGAUGUCUAUUGAUUGCAUGACUGAAAGCAUGCCAUUGUUUUUAUAUUUAUCGAAUGCAUGAAAGGAAUGCCACUGCUAAUGAUUUAUUGAUCGCAUGUUAAAACAUGCCAAGGUUCUACAUUGUAUCUGAUUCUGUCAUGCAUGUUAUGACAUUCUAUUGCAUAAGGUUGGGAAGAUUGGUAACAGAGGACUUCUAUGGAGUUCUAGCGGUUUAUCCGUAAUAUGGGAGUUCUGGCGGUUCGUCCACAAACUUUUUACUAGCAAUUUAACUACAAAUUACUGGCAGUUUAUCUGCAAAUAUUUAAUGUUACUGGUGGUUUGUCCACAAUGAGCUACGACUAUUACUAUUAUGGUGUGUACAGAUGGAUGAGUUCUAGGUAACUCAUGGUGUAUAGAGGAUGGAUAGGUAGGAAAUUACACUGACAUUCAUGGACAUGUACAUACAUUUUGAAAACUCUAUGAUUCUGUAUAUUCUGAAACACUGUGAUCUGUGACACUGUUAUUACUGUUAUAUUUGUUUACUUUCAUGCUUUUAA
Molecule: long non-coding RNA, 1561 nt
Organism: Gossypium arboreum
Lineage: Eukaryota; Viridiplantae; Streptophyta; Magnoliopsida; Malvales; Malvaceae
Exons: 2
Source: RefSeq, a predicted model, not a curated record